ACGAACGCUGGCGGCGUGCUUAACCCAUGCAAGUCGAACGAAGAGCGCUGGAAGCUUGCUUCUAUCAAUCUUAGUGGCGAACGGGUGAGUAACGCGUAAUCAACCUGCCCUUCAGAGGGGGACAACAGUUGGAAACGACUGCUAAUACCGCAUACGAUCUAACCUCGGCAUCGAGGAUGGAUGAAAGGUGGCCUCUAUUUAUAAGCUAUCACUGAAGGAGGGGAUUGCGUCUGAUUAGCUAGUUGGAGGGGUAACGGCCCACCAAGGCGAUGAUCAGUAGCCGGUCUGAGAGGAUGAACGGCCACAUUGGGACUGAGACACGGCCCAGACUCCUACGGGAGGCAGCAGUGGGGAAUCUUCCGCAAUGGACGAAAGUCUGACGGAGCAACGCCGCGUGAGUGAUGACGGCCUUCGGGUUGUAAAGCUCUGUUAAUCGGGACGAAAGGCCUUCUUGCGAAUAGUUAGAAGGAUUGACGGUACCGGAAUAGAAAGCCACGGCUAACUACGUG
RNAcentral lists this ribosomal RNA (509 nucleotides) under uncultured bacterium. Its description in RNAcentral is "partial 16S ribosomal RNA". It matches the Rfam family "Bacterial small subunit ribosomal RNA", at positions 29 to 507 of the family's 1533-position model. The record is from RNAcentral.